Molecule: long non-coding RNA, 1562 nt
Filed under: Drosophila guanche
Lineage: Eukaryota; Metazoa; Arthropoda; Insecta; Diptera; Drosophilidae
Source: RNAcentral
CUCUCAUCUUAUAUAAUUUGAAAAAACCAUUGAUAGUACAUUAUAUUUCCGUCAUACCAAAGUUAUGAAAUUUCUAUUAAUAUAUCCUUCUGUUCUUAAGUUAUUGAAAUUAUGACAGAUACAAAAAAAGAACAAAACUUUCACUAGUCAGAUGACUCUGCUUUCAUAUACUUAAAUACAUACAUGCAUGUAGUACAUAGUUAUGUAAAUAUAUAGAGGUGAAUACAUACAUAUGUAUGUAGGUACAUGUGUAUUGUAAAGAUAUUUCCGCCACACGAAAAUAGCGAUGAGCAAGUGAGCAUUAUUCAUCGCCCGCCAAGCCCACUCACACCGAUACUCACUCGCACUCACACACAGACACUCACUCACUCGAUGGCCGGGGAGCGAUUCAGAAUCUUCUGUUCCGCUCUUCUCGUAUCGGUGAUGUUGGAUUCUGUUCUGUUCGGUUUGGUUCGGAUCGGAUGGGUUAUAUUUAUAGCUUUUUGUCGAUGUUCUCCAUAAAUAGCAAAACCGUCGGCCUGCCCUGCAAAAUGCACACCAACUCAAAGAAACUACUAGACUUUGCUUCUUCCUUUUUGUAUAGUUAAAGAAACUUUUUAAAAUUGAAUAUUUAGACAGGAUACACAGCACAAAAUUUGUAUGGUGUUUUCUCAAGGUGUUUUUGGAGCGGUUUUUGAAUAUACAAUUCCAGGAUUCAAUCCUUUUUUCGUAGCACAACGCGUGUAAAAUUUGUCAAAUGAUUGAUCUGACUUUUAGAGCCAGAGGUUUUAGAUAUGAUAAACAAUACGGCAGGAAUGGGCCGGAAAAGUGCCGAUCUGAACGGGUCGACAACAGAAUCGGUAAUGCACUAAAGGAUGCAAAAAAUAUUCUCAAAUUAAUUCUUGGCGCUGCUCGGCCCGCUGACGCUUCGGUUUGGCCUCUGCCUCUUAGUUUAUUUCUUUUUAUUUUUAUUUUUGUAUGGUCUGUUAUUUUUUUUUAUAUUUUGUUGGCUGUACCGGAGAUGCGGCCAUCGUUGGGAUCGGAUCGGGUUGAGAACGCGCCUCACAGCCUCCCGAUUGCGUUCGCGAUCGCGAUCGCGAUCGCCUCCGAAGAACUUUCAUUUCGUGUAUGUAAGAGUAUUAUGUACAUAUUUAUAGCUUUGUCUCGUCUUCUUGUCUUGCCAUGCCCUGCCUUCUAUACAUAUAUGUUUAUGUAUACGUACUCUUUUGUACAGCUCGUAUAUAUAUGGCUGUGCAUAUAUGUAUGUAGCCAAAGAUCGGCAUAUUUGCCUGCCCAAAAUACUUACGCCGAUGCUGCUCUGGCCGUUGUCUGCCUGGCCGAUCCAUCGCCGAUCCACUGCGCAGGCGCAGAACACUCGGAGAUUGGCCCUGUCUAUACUUAGAACUGGCUAUAUGCUACGAUACACGGAAGGCCGCCCGAUCGUCGAACUGUUGGCUAGAUGGCAUCUCCACCGGCUCCCGUUGCCAUCGGCCAUCGGCACAGAAAUAACAUCCAUCCCAACCCAGUCCGACACACAUACAUUCUAGCCCAUUACGAGGCGGCAGCAUGUUCGGCUUUCUGGC